AGCGAACGCUGGCGGCAGGCUUAACACAUGCAAGUCGAGCGGGCACCUUCGGGUGUCCGCGGCAGACGGGUGCGUAACACGUGGGAACGUACCCUUCGGUUCGGAAUAACGCUGGGAAACUAGCGCUAAUACCGGAUACGCCCUUAUGGGGAAAGGUUUACUGCCGAAGGAUCGGCCCGCGUCUGAUUAGCUAGUUGGUGGGGUAACGGCCUACCAAGGCGACGAUCAGUAGCUGGUCUGAGAGGAUGAUCAGCCACACUGGGACUGAGACACGGCCCAGACUCCUACGGGAGGCAGCAGUGGGGAAUAUUGGACAAUGGGCGCAAGCCUGAUCCAGCCAUGCCGCGUGAGUGAUGAAGGCCUUAGGGUUGUAAAGCUCUUUUGUCCGGGACGAUAAUGACGGUACCGGAAGAAUAAGCCCCGGCUAACUUCGUG
RNAcentral lists this ribosomal RNA (435 nucleotides) under uncultured bacterium. Its description in RNAcentral is "partial 16S ribosomal RNA". It matches the Rfam family "Bacterial small subunit ribosomal RNA", at positions 29 to 507 of the family's 1533-position model. The record is from RNAcentral.